Molecule: ribosomal RNA, 253 nt
Filed under: uncultured bacterium
Lineage: Bacteria
Description: partial 16S ribosomal RNA
Rfam family: Bacterial small subunit ribosomal RNA
Source: RNAcentral
UACGAAGGGGGCUAGCGUUGCUCGGAAUCACUGGGCGUAAAGCGCACGUAGGCGGAUUGUUAAGUCGGGGGUGAAAUCCUGGAGCUCAACUCCGGAACUGCCUUCGAUACUGGCGAUCUUGAGUCCGGGAGAGGUGAGUGGAACUCCGAGUGUAGAGGUGAAAUUCGUAGAUAUUCGGAAGAACACCAGUGGCGAAGGCGGCUCACUGGCCCGGUACUGACGCUGAGGUGCGAAAGCGUGGGGAGCAAACAGG